AAUGACGGUAAAACCCCUCCGAGCCUGAAAACAUCCCUUGUCCUGUGUUCGCUUAGCGUGGAUAUGCUCUCAGCCCUCUCAUCUUUUUAUCUGAUUCAGACACCGUGUUACGUCGGAGAAGAGAUGAUGUGUUCUGCGACUUGGUGCUUCUGUUCCUGGCGCUGUAAACCCUAUCAAACAUCGGGUCCAUUGAUAUAAGACUAUUUUUGGAGGAUAAUAGGAAAUUGAGAAGGUUGGUGAUACAUCAGUGAGUAUAUGGUCUGAGCCAACGGUUAAGCGGAAGACAAAGAUUGUGUGUACAAUUGGUCCUUCAACAGAUACACGUGAAAUGAUCUGGGAAGUUGGCUGAGGUGUUACGAGGAUGAAUAUGUCUCAUGGGGAUAACGCAACUCAUCAGAAAGUUCUUGAUUUAGUUAAAGAGUAUAAUAACGAGCAUAAAGAUAAUGUCAUUGCAAUCAUGCUUGAUACCAUGGCAGGUUUUAUUCAUUUCCUAAAAUAUGUAUAGACAGGUUCUGUUUGUCAAAGAAAAUUGGAUAAUUAAAUACACUCACGCACCGGUCUUGUCUUUGGCAAGGCCCCGGAGGUUAGGACUUAGGAGUGGGGACUUGCCUCAACCGGUAAUUUUAGUGCUCGGACAAGAACUCACACUUACAAUUAGAAGAGGGGUCGGGACUACUAAUUGUGAGAGUGUUAUUUAUGAUGAUUUUGUUAAUGAUGUUGAUUCCGGAGAUAUGCUCCUCGUUGAUGUCAGUCAGCUUUCUAUGUAAAGCAUAACCAUGAAUGCCACUUGGAUCAUGGGAUUUGAACCCGGUAAAUGGGAAUGGGAAUAAGAAAUUCACUGAAGCAAUUGGAAUGAGAUUUGUCAGUAAAGGCUGCAAACUCGUUCGAUGUGGUUCUGUAGUACCAAGUUUAAAGGUGUCCAAGGAUGACCUUACAAAACUUGUAGAAACUAUUGAUGAAUGGAUCUGUCCUCGCACUGGAAUACGAAAUCGACAGGUUAUUUUAGGUUAAGGAUCCUAUCCUUCAGUACACUAAGCGCCAGAGAGACUCGCCUACUGCAUAUAUAACUUGAAUUUGCUUUCUUCCUUUAUUUGUUGAACCUGGUGAUUCGUAAGUGGAUAUGUAAUAUAUCUGAUUAUUAUGCUUAUUAUGUUAAAAGUUCAGACUUCUGAUAACACUUUCCAAAUCUUUUUUGGAGUCCAAGUACGACGAUAAAUGGCAACUGAAGGAGACCUGGUUUGUUCAUCUACGUCCAUAUCUUUUAUGUUACUACCUUUCUAUAUUUGUUUCUAAGAUUCAUUAUGAAUUUUGAUAGUAACAGCAGCAAGUGAUUCAUUGAAUUAGAAGGCAGUAGCAGCAGUACUAUUAGCUCUUAGUUCAGAUUUCCACAGGCCAACAUACUUAUAUAUUAGGUGCUGAGUCGUUGCUGAAAACGACCACCAGUAAGAAUCUGAAUGCGGUCACAAUAUAUUGAUAAACCGAACCAGUAUGCAGCAACAAAAAACCAGCUUUGAGAUUAGGGUACGAUUCCAUCUGACCAAGUUAAAUAAAUUUUCGGGCUGUGAAGUUUAAACUAAUCUGUUCAGAGUUUGACAUGAUGAACCUUUAGCUAGAAUCUCAGUGGCUUCGAAUUUGUAAGUGUUUUGCAUCAACAUUGCCACGAGCAUUCAGCAAAAACCGAAACUACAUUGUCUGGCCAGUUCCUGUAAAUUGAUUUUAUAAAUCAGUGAUAUUACUGAUCUGAGGUCACAUGUUACCAAGUUUCCAGCAUGAAGAGGCAAAGCCACCUACUUCUAGGUGGUACCAUUUUUCUGACAUGUAGUGUCAAAAUUACUUUGCGGUCAAGCCCUUGCAAUUUCAAAUUAUGUUCAAGGAUAGUAAUAUGUAUUUUCUUUUUAUAAUUUAUCGAUUGCAGAAAUUUAAAUAUUCA
Molecule: RNA transcript, 1930 nt
Organism: Daucus carota subsp. sativus
Lineage: Eukaryota; Viridiplantae; Streptophyta; Magnoliopsida; Apiales; Apiaceae
Gene name: beta-ketoacyl-[acyl-carrier-protein] synthase III A, chloroplastic
Exons: 6
Source: RefSeq, a predicted model, not a curated record